Molecule: long non-coding RNA, 1824 nt
Filed under: Panax ginseng (ginseng)
Lineage: Eukaryota; Viridiplantae; Streptophyta; Magnoliopsida; Apiales; Araliaceae
Description: long non-coding RNA (PGIN_LNC009507)
Source: RNAcentral
UAAACUUUGUUACUUUCUUUAACUUUGUCUCUAUUCACUUUUUAUGCUUUAUGGGCAUGUUGGUGAUUAACUUGUUUGAAAUUAUGUGUAUGGCCGUAAACUCACUGAUUCAUUGAUAUCCUGUUGUUUGUGUGGAUAGUUUUUUGGAAUGAGAUCUCUGUGUGAUGCUCAUAAAGGGAAUUGUAAUAGGAUACACGUAUAUAUGUUCUUAUUUUCUUUCAAUACUUUGGAAGGACAAAGUAUCCUAUUAUAAAACUCUUUACCUCUCACAGCCCUCUUUCAGCUUUGCUUCUUUUGCUUACAAUCACCGCAACUGUUUUCACUACACAUUAACAAUUUUCACUGCUAAUCUGUAUAGGUCUUUCUCAAUGUCAAAUUUCAAUCUCUACUUCUUUCUACUCAUCCUCCACCACAAGACCACCUUGUCACCACUAGUCUUCCAUUAUUAACCCAAGAAAAACCCAACAUUAAGAGCCCCUCUCAUUUUGAACGACCCAAUUCGGACCAACACAAUCGCACAACCACCUAUGUAUUGGGUAGUGAACUUCCACUUUUGAAAGAAUUGAGUUGAAUUUGUGGAUUUUGUCCUGAAAAAUUGUUUGUCUCAGGUCUUUACCGACCUUUGAAUACGAAUUCAAUGAGUCCGCCUUCUAUUUGGUCACUUAUUCGAAAGAAAAGUUCACCUCUUAUGGAGGCAUUCCUUGAACCGAUGCCACUCGGUGAGUCAGCCCUUAUCCAAACACUUAUUGUUGUAGACAAAGAACUCAUUGCUUCGUUUUCCGCUAAAACAGUUCAAUUUCAGAUAUUUGAUUUGGAAGGUUGAGAUCUUAGUUAUACUGUUUGAAUAUAUUUAUGAUAUGGAUUCUUGUGUUUUCCUUGCAACUGCUAAUUUAUGCUUUAAGGAGCUUUGUCUUUUAUUCUAUCAUUUAAAGGCUUUAUUAGAUUAUUGCUUCGAAUCAAGUCGGAUAUGGAUUUUACACUAGUUUUAAUGGUUGACCAUAUGAACAAUUGCAGCAAAUUAAUUAAGGUAGGAUGUAAAAUAUCUUGCAGAGGCACUGGAUGAUGAAGAACUCGCUGAACAUGCUGCGGCUGUAUUUAUAUCUCUGAUUCGGCACCCACUUGGAGCUGAAGUAGUAAAGAUGACCAUACAUCAAUUGUAGUACUGCUUGUACUGACUCAUCAUGAUUGGUCCCCAAGGGCGAUGAACAAUGCUAUUGUAGCAUUGAAAGAGUUAUUCCCAGAUUUGGUAGUGCCAGUGAUGAUCAUUGGUGGACUGCCAGCGGCCUAAAGCUCUGCUGAGUAUAGCUUCAGGGAAGGACAGAGCUAAGGUAUGUCUAGGUUUUCUAGCGGUUUGAGGCUUUGCCUGAGGAGUUGCGAGACGAAGGAUAAACCAUCUGUGUGACUUCUGUUGACUUUGAUGUAAGCCGAUGUGGAUAUCUGUGCCUAUAUUAAAUUAUAGGCACCCCCUGGGUCCUUUACUUUGUUGUUCUUCCUGUUCAAACUGCAUUUAGAACUAAACAAUAAAUAAAUAUAUGUCAGAACGUAUUUUGGCGGGACGAUGUAUGCCUGCUACACAAUUCCAACAGUUAACUGUUCUUUCUGUUUCUUGCAUAGUUUGCAACAAUAUCUCUGUGUCUAAUUCUUGCAUUUAACGCCACCACUUCUCUUUUCAAUCUCCUGCAUUUUGUGCAAGGUAGUAUCUUUCUUCUUCUCUCCCUUUUUUCUUUCUGCAUUUUUGAAGUCUGUAUUUUUUUCUUCCAUAAAUAGGUCUGCAGAUUUUUCAUGUGAACAGAAAUAUAAACUAGUUCAGAUCUAAAAGCUUUC